Molecule: ribosomal RNA, 500 nt
Filed under: uncultured bacterium
Lineage: Bacteria
Description: bacterial SSU rRNA
Rfam family: Bacterial small subunit ribosomal RNA
Source: RNAcentral
AAUGAACGCUGGCGGCGUGCCUAACACAUGCAAGUCGGAUGUGCCCGCAAGGGUGCAUGGCAGACGGGUGAGUAACGCGUGGGGAAUCUACCUUUUAGUGGGGAAUAACGCUCCGAAAGGAGUGGUAAUACCGCAUGUGACCAUCGGCUGGGAUGCUGAUGGUGAAACCCUGGGACCUUCGGGCCAGGGGCUAGAAGAGGAUCCUGCGUCUGAUUAGCUAGUUGGCGGGGUAACGGCCCACCAAGGCGACGAUCAGUAGCCGGCCUGAGAGGGUGAUCGGCCACACUGGAACUGAGACACGGUCCAGACUCCUACGGGAGGCAGCAGUGGGGAAUUUUGCGCAAUGGACGAAAGUCUGACGCAGCAACGCCGCGUGGGUGAUGAAGGUCUUCGGAUUGUAAAACCCUGUCGCCAGGGACGAAGGGUGGGGCGUGAAUAGCGUUCACUUUGACGGUACCUGGAAAGGAAGCCCCGGCUAACUCUGUGCCAGCAGCCGCGGU